RNAcentral lists this long non-coding RNA (1249 nucleotides) under Gallus gallus (chicken). RNAcentral's name for it is "long non-coding RNA NONGGAT004953". The record is from RNAcentral. Lineage: Eukaryota; Metazoa; Chordata; Aves; Galliformes; Phasianidae.
GCCAGAUUCCACUCUUGUUUAUGCAGUUAGGAUCAUGGUGUUUACUUCAUCUGGUUUACUCUAGCAUAACCAGAAGCAGAAUAUAGCCCUUAGUGUUGUAAAAUAACUAAGCAGGCUGAACACUGCAACAAUUACUUGUGCCUAGCGUUACACAGAAGGGAACUCCUUUAUUUCACUGCAACUCAAUGCAAAAGAACAUUAUAGUUCGUGGUUUUGCCAUAGCCAAAGAGGUGUCAGGCAGCUGCAGUGGAUGACUCAGAUCCACAACCACAUUUUGCCUGUAGAAAAGGAAAUCUUGGCUGAAUGUCUGCAACCGCUGUCAGUCAUUAAAAGAAGGAUGCAUAUUUAGAGAGAAGACUCGUGGAGAGAAAACACCAACCUUCCUAUGCCUUCCACAGUUCUACGAAUCCUUUUUAACUGUGUUUUGUUACUCAGAAAGUUGUGUGAGCUUGCUAGAAUCUCCCAUUAAUUCACUGUAGGAAAGACACUCUUAAAUUGCAUCCAGAUCUCCAGCAGAGCUGCCUCCCCCUAAGCAGCCCUUUUCCAAGUGCACAUUUAAAACAAGCUACUAAGUGCUUACAGGAUCUGCAUCUGAUCAGAAGGAUGGUGUUGAAGCUGACAGUCUUUUAAAACACUGGAACAUUUUUAUCUUUUUCUCCUAUCUCCCUUUUCCUUCUGGCCUUCAAAUUUAAAUGCAACGUCUGACUAAUGAUGACAGAAAUUAAUCUGCUCUCAUUGCAUCAGGUUAUAUAUGCAAGUAAAACUAACAGUCUCAGCUGCAAACGGUGAUUCCUACCUGUGACCUCCAUGAAAUUAGUAUGGAACCUUAUACAUAGAUUUAAUCUAAUCAUGUCUAAAACUUGUAGUCUGGUUUUCUUCCUAGACUUUGGCUGCUGAUCUAUCAGUAACUUAUAAACCAAGGAAAUUUAAGUAUAUAGACUGAGUUCAGUCCUCACUGUCGUCUUCAUCAUCAUCGUCAUCUUUACUGGGAGCACAUCUUUGGAAGCAGUGCACUAGAGUUGCUAGGAAGAAGCUUGAUAGAAUUGCAGCAAUGGAGACUGCGACUCCAGAGAAGAUGAUGAUAAAAAGGCAGGGAACACUGGAUUUCAUGGAGACCUGCAAAGAAGAGGAGAGGGAAACAAAUCAGAGGAAUAUUGAUGAAACCAUCUGUUGCUCUGGACAGAGAACAAAUGCCUGAGGAAAAUGUUUUAAGGGUUAUUUCUAGGCUCAGGAAUUUGUAUGAAAUUCA